Non-coding RNA from Hemibagrus wyckioides, 402 nucleotides. Lineage: Eukaryota; Metazoa; Chordata; Actinopteri; Siluriformes; Bagridae. The record is from the annotation of a RefSeq genome assembly.
AUGUUCACUGUUAUAUUCAUGUGUCUGUGGCUUUCACUAGGUGACUCCAUGGCAGAUUCAAUAAAGCCACUUUCCACUCAGAAAGUUGUAGAUGAAGGUGAUGAUGUUACUCUGUCCUGCGAAUAUGAAACAAGUGCUCCAGGAUUCUCCCUGCACUGGUACAGGCAAUAUCCAAAAUCUAAACCUGAGUUCCUUUUUUUCAUUAGUCCAAGUGGAUUUAAAACUGACCCUAUGCCACCACGUCUGUCUGCUGAAGUUAAUGAUAAAACUAAACAAGUGGCUAUGAUCAUCUCCUCUGCUGCUGUAUCAGACUCUGCACUAUAUUACUGUGCUCUGGCGCCCACAGUGACAGGAAAUCCAGCUGCACUGUACAAAAACCUUCACACAGUUUUGUUAUACUGA